Macaca fascicularis (crab-eating macaque) is the source of this 148-nucleotide unclassified non-coding RNA. It matches the Rfam family "Metazoan signal recognition particle RNA". Rfam says of the family: The signal recognition particle (SRP) is a universally conserved ribonucleoprotein. NCBI's taxonomy places the organism in Eukaryota, Metazoa, Chordata, Mammalia, Primates, Cercopithecidae. The record is from Ensembl.
GCCAGGCAUGGUGGCGCAUGCCUGUAGUCCCAGCUACUUGGGAGGCUGAGGUAGGAGAAUUGCUUGAACCCAGGAGGUGGAGGUUGCAGUGGGCCCCUAUUGCACCACUGCACUCCAGCCUAGGUGACAGAGUGAGACCCUGUCUCAA